Molecule: ribosomal RNA, 254 nt
Filed under: uncultured bacterium
Lineage: Bacteria
Description: partial 16S ribosomal RNA
Rfam family: Bacterial small subunit ribosomal RNA
Source: RNAcentral
CACGUAGGGGGCAAGCGUUGUCCGGAUUCAUUGGGCGUAAAGAGCUCGUAGGCGGUUCGAUAAGUCGGGUGCGAAACCUCCAGGCUCAACCUGGAGACGCCACCCGAUACUGUCGUGACUAGAGUCCAGUAGGGGAGCGUGGAAUUCCUGGUGUAGCGGUGAAAUGCGCAGAUAUCAGGAGGAACACCGGUGGCGAAGGCGGUUCUCUGGGCAUUACCUGACGCUGAGGAGCGAAAGUGUGGGGAGCGAACAGG